RNAcentral lists this transfer RNA (33 nucleotides) under Crotaphytus bicinctores. RNAcentral describes it as "partial tRNA-Met". The record is from RNAcentral. Lineage: Eukaryota; Metazoa; Chordata; Lepidosauria; Squamata; Crotaphytidae.
CCGAAAAUGUWGGUUUAAAUCCUUCCUGUACUA